UGGCGGACGGGUGAGUAACGCGUGGGUAACCUGCCCUGUACAGGGGGAGUAACAGUCAGAAAUGACUGCUAAUACCGCAUAAGACCACAGCACCGCAUGGUGCAGGGGUAAAAAACUCCGGUGGUACAGGAUGGACCCGCGUCUGAUUAGCUAGUUGGUGAGGUAACGGCUCACCAAGGCGACGAUCAGUAGCCGACCUGAGAGGGUGACCGGCCACACUGGGACUGAGACACGGCCCAGACUCCUACGGGAGGCAGCAUG
RNAcentral lists this ribosomal RNA (261 nucleotides) under uncultured bacterium. Its description in RNAcentral is "partial 16S ribosomal RNA". It matches the Rfam family "Bacterial small subunit ribosomal RNA", at positions 96 to 353 of the family's 1533-position model. The record is from RNAcentral.